This 468-nucleotide ribosomal RNA is filed under the name uncultured bacterium. Its description in RNAcentral is "partial 16S ribosomal RNA". It matches the Rfam family "Bacterial small subunit ribosomal RNA", at positions 28 to 507 of the family's 1533-position model. The record is from RNAcentral.
GACGAACGCUGGCGGCGUGCUUAACACAUGCAAGUCGAACGGAAAGGCCCUGCUUUUGUGGGGUGCUCGAGUGGCGAACGGGUGAGUAACACGUGAGUAACCUGCCCUUGACUUUGGGAUAACUUCAGGAAACUGGGGCUAAUACCGGAUAGGAGCUCCUGCUGCAUGGUGGGGGUUGGAAAGUUUCGGCGGUUGGGGAUGGAUUCGCGGCUUAUCAGCUUGUUGGUGGGGUAGUGGCUUACCAAGGCUUUGACGGGUAGCCGGCCUGAGAGAGUGACCGGCCACAUUGGGACUGAGAUACGGCCCAGACGCCUACGGGAGGCAGCAGUGGGGAAUAUUGCGCAAUGGGCGGAAGCCUGAUGCAGAAACGCCGCGUGCGGGAUGACGGCCUUCGGGUUGUAAACCGCUUUCGACUGUGACGAAGCGUGAGUGACGGUAAUGGGUAAAGAAGCACCGGCUAACUACGUG